This is a non-coding RNA of Tinamus guttatus (white-throated tinamou), 193 nucleotides long. NCBI's taxonomy places the organism in Eukaryota, Metazoa, Chordata, Aves, Tinamiformes, Tinamidae. The record is from RefSeq and is a predicted model, not a curated record.
CAGGAGGCUUCUGCAGCACAAACAGCACGUGAGUUUUCCGCCCUCUGGGAAAAGAUUGAAGGUUUUAAACCUGAGCAAGUUUGGUUUGUUCCCCAGGAGCCGUGGCUCCACCAUCCAGCAUUGAGAAUAAGGCAGAAAGUGCAAAUGAGAACUGAACUCCGAUCCGCCCGGCCCACAGUGUCGCUGCAGUGAA